GGACGAACGCUGGCGGCGUGCCUAAUACAUGCAAGUCGAACGAGAGCGACCGGUGCUUGCACUGGUCAAUCUAGUGGCGAACGGGUGAGUAACACGUGGGUAACCUGCCCAUCAGAGGGGGAUAACAUCCGGAAACGGAUGCUAAAACCGCAUAGGUCUUCGAGCCGCAUGGCUUGAAGAGGAAAAGAGGCGCAAGCUUCUGCUGAUGGAUGGACCCGCGGUGCAUUAGCUAGUUGGUGAGGUAACGGCUCACCAAGGCCGUGAUGCAUAGCCGACCUGAGAGGGUGAUCGGCCACAUUGGGACUGAGACACGGCCCAAACUCCUACGGGAGGCAGCAGUAGGGAAUCUUCCGCAAUGGACGCAAGUCUGACGGAGCAACGCCGCGUGAGUGAAGAAGGUGUUCGGAUCGUAAAACUCUGUUGUUAGAGAAGAACAAGUGCUAGAGUAACUGUUAGCGCCUUGACGGUAUCUAACCAGAAAGCCACGGCUAACUACGUG
This 499-nucleotide ribosomal RNA is filed under the name uncultured bacterium. RNAcentral's name for it is "partial 16S ribosomal RNA". It matches the Rfam family "Bacterial small subunit ribosomal RNA", at positions 27 to 507 of the family's 1533-position model. The record is from RNAcentral.